ACUCAAAUGAAUUGACGGGGGCCCGCACAAGCAGCGGAGCGUGUGGUUUAAUUCGACGCAACGCGCAGAACCUUACCCAGACUUGACAUGACGCUGCAAGCCCAGGAAACUGGGUCGCCUUCGAGGGUGCGUCACAGGUGCUGCAUGGCUGUCGUCAGCUCGUGUCGUGAGAUGUUGGGUUAAGUCCCGCAACGAGCGCAACCCCCGGGUCCUGUUACUCGUGUCAGGACCGACAGCCGGUGCCAACACCGGAGGAAGGCGGGGAUGACGUCAAGUCCGCAUGGCCCUUACGUUUGGGGCGACACACACGCUACAAUGGCUGGGACAAUGCGUCGCGAGCCCGCAAGGGUCAGCUAAUCGCCUAAACCCAGCCCCAGUUCAGAUUGGGGGCUGCAACUCGCCCCCAUGAAGGCGGAGUUGCUAGUAACCGCCGGUCAGCCAUACGGCGGUGAAUCUGUACCCGGGCCUUGUACACACCGCCCGU
Molecule: ribosomal RNA, 484 nt
Filed under: uncultured bacterium
Lineage: Bacteria
Description: partial 16S ribosomal RNA
Rfam family: Bacterial small subunit ribosomal RNA
Source: RNAcentral